RNAcentral lists this ribosomal RNA (926 nucleotides) under Streptomyces olivaceus. Its description in RNAcentral is "bacterial SSU rRNA". It matches the Rfam family "Bacterial small subunit ribosomal RNA", at positions 31 to 971 of the family's 1533-position model. The record is from RNAcentral. Lineage: Bacteria; Bacillati; Actinomycetota; Actinomycetes; Kitasatosporales; Streptomycetaceae.
GAACCGGGGCGGCUGCUUACACAUGCAAGUCGAACGAUGAACCACUUCGGUGGGGAUUAGUGGCGAACGGGUGAGUAACACGUGGGCAAUCUGCCCUGCACUCUGGGACAAGCCCUGGAAACGGGGUCUAAUACCGGAUAUUGACCUUCACGGGCAUCUGUGAGGUUCGAAAGCUCCGGCGGUGCAGGAUGAGCCCGCGGCCUAUCAGCUUGUUGGUGAGGUAAUGGCUCACCAAGGCGACGACGGGUAGCCGGCCUGAGAGGGCGACCGGCCACACUGGGACUGAGACACGGCCCAGACUCCUACGGGAGGCAGCAGUGGGGAAUAUUGCACAAUGGGCGAAAGCCUGAUGCAGCGACGCCGCGUGAGGGAUGACGGCCUUCGGGUUGUAAACCUCUUUCAGCAGGGAAGAAGCGAAAGUGACGGUACCUGCAGAAGAAGCGCCGGCUAACUACGUGCCAGCAGCCGCGGUAAUACGUAGGGCGCAAGCGUUGUCCGGAAUUAUUGGGCGUAAAGAGCUCGUAGGCGGCUUGUCACGUCGGUUGUGAAAGCCCGGGGCUUAACCCCGGGUCUGCAGUCGAUACGGGCAGGCUAGAGUUCGGUAGGGGAGAUCGGAAUUCCUGGUGUAGCGGUGAAAUGCGCAGAUAUCAGGAGGAACACCGGUGGCGAAGGCGGAUCUCUGGGCCGAUACUGACGCUGAGGAGCGAAAGCGUGGGGAGCGAACAGGAUUAGAUACCCUGGUAGUCCACGCCGUAAACGGUGGGCACUAGGUGUGGGCAACAUUCCACGUUGUCCGUGCCGCAGCUAACGCAUUAAGUGCCCCGCCUGGGGAGUACGGCCGCAAGGCUAAAACUCAAAGGAAAUUGACGGGGGCCCGCACAAGCGGCGGGAGCAUGUGGCUUAAUUCGACGCAACGCGAAGAACCC